UACGUAGGGUGCAAGCGUUGUCCGGAAUUAUUGGGCGUAAAGAGCUCGUAGGCGGUCUGUCGCGUCGGCUGUGAAAACUCGGGGCUCAACUCCGAGCUUGCAGUCGAUACGGGCAGGCUAGAGUUCGGCAGGGGAGACUGGAAUUCCUGGUGUAGCGGUGAAAUGCGCAGAUAUCAGGAGGAACACCAAUGGCGAAGGCAGAUCUCUGGGCCGUAACUGACGCUGAGGAGCGAAAGCAUGGGGAGCGAACAGG
This 253-nucleotide ribosomal RNA is filed under the name uncultured bacterium. Its description in RNAcentral is "partial 16S ribosomal RNA". It matches the Rfam family "Bacterial small subunit ribosomal RNA", at positions 524 to 776 of the family's 1533-position model. The record is from RNAcentral.